GCAAUCCAAACUCUCUGCCUGAACAAGCAUCCUUAUGAAGCACUGAGAUCUAAGCUGCAAUCUCCUGGACUUCUCCUCAUAGAGUCGUUUAGCAAAGAAAGAUAACGGGACGGGAGUGUUUGCUCUAGAACUCUGGGCUGGCUUUCAUCCUGAUAACAGAUCGUCUUGGAUUCUGGUUAUUUCAGUCAGCCAGGUUUUGCUGUGAGACAUGGAGUCAAAAAGUGAAGGGUCAACAUCACUUAGUGAAAAACUGGCUUCUAUUGAGGAUGAAGAAGUUCUCAACAAAAUGCUGGACAAUGCAGCUGAUUUUGAAGAGAGGAGGAUGAUCCGUGCUGCUUUGAGGGAUCUGCUCAAGAAAAAGAGAGGUAAAAUAAUUUCAACCAUCCAUAUAAAACUGAAAGGUGUGGUGCUUUGCACUUAACAGCUGC
Molecule: long non-coding RNA, 428 nt
Organism: Cyprinodon tularosa
Lineage: Eukaryota; Metazoa; Chordata; Actinopteri; Cyprinodontiformes; Cyprinodontidae
Exons: 3
Source: RefSeq, a predicted model, not a curated record